UACGGGGGGGGCAAGCGUUGUUCGGAAUUACUGGGCGUAAAGGGCGCGUAGGCGGCUUUUCAAGUCGGGCGUGAAAUCUCCAGGCUUAACCUGGAAGGGUCGUUCGAUACUGUUAAGCUAGAGUGUGGAAGAGGCUACUGGAAUUCCGUGUGUAGCGGUGAAAUGCGUAGAUAUCUGGAGGAACACCGGUGGCGAAGGCGGCAUCCUGGACCGGUAUUGACGCUGAGGCGCGAAAGCUAGGGGAGCAAACGGG
Molecule: ribosomal RNA, 253 nt
Filed under: uncultured bacterium
Lineage: Bacteria
Description: partial 16S ribosomal RNA
Rfam family: Bacterial small subunit ribosomal RNA
Source: RNAcentral